Molecule: long non-coding RNA, 942 nt
Filed under: Cervus hanglu yarkandensis (Yarkand deer)
Lineage: Eukaryota; Metazoa; Chordata; Mammalia; Artiodactyla; Cervidae
Description: lncRNA (ENSCHYG00000007880.1)
Source: RNAcentral
GCAAUUAUAAAUAAUGAAAAUUAAUUAAUUGAUUAAUAAGCACCUUUUCCUUUUAGGAAGGGAUCUUCAUUCUAUUAUAAUCUCCAGGUGUUGGGGAGGACCAUAAUAAGAGGAUCUCUGAAAAUCAGGCCCUUCACAGCUCUGGAAGACCAGAUGAGUAAUGGAGAAUCCCAUGGACAGAGGAGCCUAGCAGACUAUGGCCCAAGAUGAAGCAAAGAGUCAGACACGACUGAAGUGACAGAGCAGCCAUAGAUAGCACUGAGAGGUUAAUUGUUUGAUUCAAGUUCACACAGCUAAUCAAUAUUCACUCAGAAAAUAAAGCCAGUAUUCCAGUUCUCCAGUGUUGAGCCUUCUGUAAUCCCAUAAAAAGCUUUUACAUAUUUUUGCUCUUUUGGGAAAAUGAGAAAUUACUGCCUUAUAGCUUUCUAGAUGACUUUUGAACCCCUAUUAACUUUUAUUAUUUUCUAAGCAUACAUCUGUCUACUUUUUGUACACUUGAACAUUUUGUGUACUAAGCAUAAAAAAAUAUUUUUAUAGGUUGGAUUAUAGAGGAAAUUGUUGAAAAUGUUUAUGCUGUAUCAUGGGACUUCAAUAUUGUGGUUGGAAAUUUAAUCUGAGAAUUCCAAGCUUAUAGAAUAAACAUAUAUGCAAAUAAGUAGAUAAGAAUAGAUUUUUUAAAUGUUUCAUCUGACUCAUAGGAGCUAAGUGAACCAUGAAAUGUGAAAACCUGAAGCAAAUGAAACUGGGGAGGAAAUUUAAACAUGCCCAGGGCCACAAAUAAGGUUUUAUGUUUUUCAUUUGUUGUGUUUAUUUGUUUAUUUUUCACUCUGGCUGUCUAGAGUGUAUCUUCAGUAAUGGAUAAUGUGACAAAUAACCCUCACUGUUCUCAACAGUAUGAAUUUGAAUAAAUUAGAUAUGCAGAUACUUACGGAAAUUUCACAU